CAGCAGCCGCGGUAAUACGUAGGUGGCGAGCGUUGUCCGGAAUUAUUGGGCGUAAAGGGAGCGCAGGUGGGAAAGUAAGUCAGUCUUAAAAGUGCGGGGCUCAACCCCGUGAGGGGAUUGAAACUACUUUUCUUGAGUGCAGGAGAGGAAAGCGGAAUUCCUAGUGUAGCGGUGAAAUGCGUAGAUAUUAGGAGGAACACCAGUGGCGAAGGCGGCUUUCUGGACUGUAACUGACACUGAGGCUCGAAAGCCAGGGGAGCGAACGGGAUUAGAUACCCCGGUAGUCCUGGCCGUAAACGAUGGAUACUAGGUGUAGGAGGUAUCGACCCCUUCUGUGCCGGAGUUAACGCAAUAAGUAUCCCGCCUGGGGAGUACGGUCGCAAGACUGAAACUCAAAGGAAUUGACGGGGGCCCGCACAAGCGGUGGAGUAUGUGGUUUAAUUCGACGCAACGCGAAGAACCUUACCAGGGCUUGACAUUGAUUGAAACCUCUAGAGAUAGAGGCCUCUCUUCGGAGACAAGAAAACAGGUGGUGCAUGGCC
RNAcentral lists this ribosomal RNA (542 nucleotides) under uncultured archaeon. RNAcentral's name for it is "bacterial SSU rRNA". It matches the Rfam family "Bacterial small subunit ribosomal RNA", at positions 509 to 1050 of the family's 1533-position model. The record is from RNAcentral.